Long non-coding RNA from Boleophthalmus pectinirostris (great blue-spotted mudskipper), 751 nucleotides. RefSeq lists it as uncharacterized. The record is from RefSeq and is a predicted model, not a curated record. NCBI's taxonomy places the organism in Eukaryota, Metazoa, Chordata, Actinopteri, Gobiiformes, Gobiidae. The transcript has 3 exons.
AAUAGGAGCAAAUAUUACACUUAACCGUCACAGCUUUGGUAGUUUUCAGUACAUUUGUGGUGACUAGUAUGAAUGAAAAAUGUCUCUUUAUGCAGGAAUGUCACUUAUUUUUUCUUUUAUGUUUAAGAUGAAACUUUGACUGCAAUUUCCAUCAGUGACAACAAGCCAUCUGUCAACCAGAAAUGUUAACUAUUCAGCCCUAGAGAUCCGAGCAAGCUCUGGAUGGGAAGGAAAGAAGCUCUGAGUGAUGACACAAAGAUAUACUGUGACCAGCGGUGAGAGAUAGUGAUCGACACACAUGGUUAAGUACAAGUGAGAUCAAAUCUACAGCGGAUACGAGCCAUGAAACGUCACAUCAUCCAACGUGAGGGCCAGCCACAGUGACAAGACAGAAUGUGGUCAGACCAGAUCAGGUUGGGUGUGUGGGCCCUACCUGGAGAUUGAAACAACAAAAAAUGAGCAUCCGCCAUGUCAAUCCUUUAAUUGAGCUGUUUAUGAGGAGUUAUUUCAACACAAAACCAACCAAGUGCCUACAUACCAGGGGAGUGAGCGCGACCACAAGCUAAGUCACUCUUGCUUCACACAAUGCCACGGCUCUCCCAAUGUGGUCAACUGUCUAAAAAUGGUCAAAGCUUCCACGUUUUGCACAACAAAGCACCCUACCCAGAGAUUUUAGAUUCCCAUUAAAAAUAAUAAAACUGCAGCGUGUUUCUGGAUUUAAGAGCUGUUUUGGGUGCUUGGCUGUGCAGGC